Molecule: ribosomal RNA, 476 nt
Filed under: uncultured Granulicatella sp.
Lineage: Bacteria; Bacillati; Bacillota; Bacilli; Lactobacillales; Carnobacteriaceae
Description: bacterial SSU rRNA
Rfam family: Bacterial small subunit ribosomal RNA
Source: RNAcentral
CCACAUUGGGACUGAAACACGGCCCAAACUCCUACGGGAGGCAGCAGUAGGGAAUCUUCCGCAAUGGACGCAAGUCUGACGGAGCAACGCCGCGUGAGUGAAGAAGGUUUUCGGAUCGUAAAACUCUGUUGUUAGAGAAGAACAAGUGCUAGAGUAACUGUUAGCGCCUUGACGGUAUCUAACCAGAAAGCCACGGCUAACUACGUGCCAGCAGCCGCGGUAAUACGUAGGUGGCAAGCGUUGUCCGGAUUUAUUGGGCGUAAAGCGAGCGCAGGCGGUUCCUUAAGUCUGAUGUGAAAGCCCCCGGCUCAACCGGGGAGGGUCAUUGGAAACUGGGGAACUUGAGUGCAGAAGAGGAGAGUGGAAUUCCAUGUGUAGCGGUGAAAUGCGUAGAUAUAUGGAGGAACACCAGUGGCGAAGGCGACUCUCUGGUCUGUAACUGACGCUGAGGCUCGAAAGCGUGGGUAGCAAACAGG